RNAcentral lists this long non-coding RNA (801 nucleotides) under Phascolarctos cinereus (koala). RNAcentral's name for it is "lncRNA (ENSPCIG00000023046.2)". The record is from RNAcentral. Lineage: Eukaryota; Metazoa; Chordata; Mammalia; Diprotodontia; Phascolarctidae.
CUGCAUAGUAACUUGGGCCCUUUUCAUCUUUUAUGUUGAGUUCCAGAUAUGAGUCAAAUCCUGAUGUUCCUAGGUGAAACUCCAAGUGAGCACAUGAACCAAAGAGACUCCUAUGGUAAGCCCUCAAGAUUGUUGCCAGCCUAGGAAAGCCUAGACCUUUAGUAACGGACCAUGGAUUAAACUGUGAUCAGAUGGCCCUCCAGGUGGGAGUGAUUUUCACUUAUCCAGCUAGGCUAAGGCAUGGGAUGCCAGGGCCUUGGCUAUUUUCCAGGAAUGGUGAACCACUGGGCAGUAUUGUGAGCAGACUAAAAAGCAAGAGAUUUGACGCUGCUCCCCACCAACCUGAUGCUUGGCGCUCCCACCGAGUUUCUCCAUCAAUUAUUGACGUCAGAACCGAGAGGACUGACAAUGCAGACGGGGCUGAAAAAAGUCAUUGUAAUCACCACCUGGAAUGGAUUCGGGGCACUCAGCACCCAGCAUGGGGGUUGCCGCCCAGAUCAGGGGGGGAUGAGGAGUGGUGGGGAGGGGGCGUGAUUACCAUUGGGGAAAAGGAGAAGGAAUUCGUGCAUCAAAAAGGAGAUUGAGCAAGAUGAUGUCCAGGCUUCCUUCCAGCUCUGAGAUUCUAGGAUGCUCCUAGGUCAUACCCUUAAUUUUCCAGGCCUCUGUACUUUGGGUCUGGCCCCUACUUCCUGCUGGUUAAAGGGAUUUGUGUGAGGCAUAUACAAGUAGAAGGCCAGCAUCUGGAGAGUUGAUCCUGGUUUUGACAUAGACUAAAUGUGUGACCUUAAGCAAGUCAUUGAA